CCCGAAAGCUAUUUAGGUAGCGCCUCGUGAAUUCAUCUCCGGGGGUAGAGCACUGUUUCGGCAAGGGGGUCAUCCCGACUUACCAACCCGAUGCAAACUGCGAAUACCGGAGAAUGUUAUCACGGGAGACACACGGCGGGUGCUAACGUCCGUCGUGAAGAGGGAAACAACCCAUACCGCCAGCUAAGGUCCCAAAGUCAUGGUUAAGUGGGAAACGAUGUGGGAAGGCCCAGACAGCCAGGAUGUUGGCUUAGAAGCAGCCAUCAUUUAAAGAAAGCGUAAUAGCUCACUGGUCGAGUCGGCCUGCGCGGAAGAUGUAACGGGGCUAAACCAUGCACCGAAGCUGCGGCAGCGACGCUUAUGCGUUGUUGGGUAGGGGAGCGUUCUGUAAGCCUGCGAAGGUGUACUGUGAGGUAUGCUGGAGGUAUCAGAAGUGCGAAUGCUGACAUAAGUAACGAUAAAGCGGGUGAAAAGCCCGCUCGCCGGAAGACCAAGGGUUCCUGUCCAACGUUAAUCGGGGCAGGGUGAGUCG
RNAcentral lists this ribosomal RNA (532 nucleotides) under Escherichia coli. RNAcentral describes it as "partial 23S ribosomal RNA". It matches the Rfam family "Bacterial large subunit ribosomal RNA", at positions 858 to 1386 of the family's 2925-position model. Lineage: Bacteria; Pseudomonadati; Pseudomonadota; Gammaproteobacteria; Enterobacterales; Enterobacteriaceae. The record is from RNAcentral.